Molecule: small nuclear RNA, 22 nt
Filed under: Arabidopsis thaliana (thale cress)
Lineage: Eukaryota; Viridiplantae; Streptophyta; Magnoliopsida; Brassicales; Brassicaceae
Description: snRNA_04242
Source: RNAcentral
CUGGGCCCAUUGGGCUUGGGAU